This 467-nucleotide ribosomal RNA is filed under the name Coniochaeta hoffmannii. RNAcentral's name for it is "LSU rRNA". It matches the Rfam family "Eukaryotic large subunit ribosomal RNA", at positions 96 to 575 of the family's 3401-position model. Lineage: Eukaryota; Fungi; Ascomycota; Sordariomycetes; Coniochaetales; Coniochaetaceae. The record is from RNAcentral.
AAGCGGCAACAGCUCAAAUUUGAAAUCUGGCUUCGGCCCGAGUUGUAAUUUGUAGAGGAUGCUUUUGGCGAGGUGCCUUCUGAGUUCCCUGGAACGGGACGCCAGAGAGGGUGAGAGCCCCGUAUAGUCGGACACCAAGCCUUUGUAAAGCUCCUUCGACGAGUCGAGUAGUUUGGGAAUGCUGCUCAAAAUGGGAGGUAUAUCUCUUCUAAAGCUAAAUAUAGGCCAGAGACCGAUAGCGCACAAGUAGAGUGAUCGAAAGAUGAAAAGCACUUUGAAAAGAGGGUUAAAUAGCACGUGAAAUUGUUGAAAGGGAAGCGCUUGUGACCAGACUUGUGCCGGGCUGAUCAUCCAGUGUUCUCACUGGUGCACUCGACCCGGCUCAGGCCAGCGUCGGUUCUCGUGGGGGGAUAAAAACUUCGGGAACGUGGCUCCUCCGGGAGUGUUAUAGCCCGUUGUUUAAUACC